RNAcentral lists this ribosomal RNA (409 nucleotides) under uncultured bacterium. Its description in RNAcentral is "bacterial SSU rRNA". It matches the Rfam family "Archaeal small subunit ribosomal RNA", at positions 339 to 747 of the family's 1478-position model. The record is from RNAcentral.
UCGGGAAAAUUUUGCAAUACACGUAAGUGUGACAGAGCAAGCCAGAGUGCUUUUCCGUAAAGGAACAGCUUUUGUGGGAUGUAAAAAGUCCCACGAAUAAGGACCGGGCAAGACUGGUGCCAGCCGCCGCGGUAAUCCCAGCGGUCCAAGUCGCAGCCACAUUUGUUGGGUCUAAAAUAUCCGUAGCUUGCCUUGUAAGUCUCUUGUGAAAUCGGGCCUCUUAAGGGUCCGGCGUGCAAGAGAUACUGCUUGGCUAGAGACCGGGAGACGCAAGGAGUACAGUUAGGGUAGCGGUAAAAUGUGUUGAUCCUUUCUGGACUAACAAUAGCGAAGGCACCUUGCGAUAACGGUUCUGACAGUGAGGGAUGAAGGCUAGGGGCGCAAAGUGGAUUAGAUACCCGUGUAGUCC